Molecule: ribosomal RNA, 639 nt
Filed under: Solanum tuberosum (potato)
Lineage: Eukaryota; Viridiplantae; Streptophyta; Magnoliopsida; Solanales; Solanaceae
Description: rRNA SSU_rRNA_eukarya
Rfam family: Eukaryotic small subunit ribosomal RNA
Source: Rfam by way of RNAcentral
GGGGGAGUAUCGUUGCAAGGCUCAAACUUAAAGGAAUUGACGGAAGGGCACCACCAGGAGUGGACCCUGCAGAUUAAUUUGACUGAGUUGUUUCUUGAUUCUAUGGGUGGUGGUGCAUGGCCGUUCUUAGUUGGGGGAGCGAUUUGUCUGGUUAAUUUCAUUAACGAACGAGACCUCAGCCUGCUAAUUAGCUAUGCGGAGGUAUCCCUUCGCAACCAGCUUCCUAGAGGGACUAUGGCCUUUUAGGCCCCGGAAGUUUGAGGCAAUAACAGGUCAGUGAUGACCUUAGAUGUUCUGGGCUGCACGCACGCUACACUGAUGUAUUCAACGAGCUUAUAGCCUUGUCCGAAAGGCCCGGGUAAUCUUUGAACUUUCAUCGUGAUGGGGACAGAUCAUUGCAAUUGUUGGUAUUCAACGAGGAAUUCCUAGUAAGUGUGGGUCAUCAUCUCGCGUUGACUACGUCCCUGCCCUAUAUACACACUGCCCAUUGCAACUACUGAUUAAAUGAUCCGAUCAGAUGUUUGGAUCGCGGCAACGUGGGCGGUUUGCUGCCCGCAACUUCGCGAGAAGUCCAUAGAACCUUAUCAUUUAGAGGAAGGAGAAGUCGUAACAAGAUUUCCGUAGGUGAACCUGCGGAAG